This 784-nucleotide ribosomal RNA is filed under the name Venturia helvetica. Its description in RNAcentral is "partial large subunit ribosomal RNA". It matches the Rfam family "Eukaryotic large subunit ribosomal RNA", at positions 101 to 908 of the family's 3401-position model. RNAcentral also lists the same sequence under 3 other names. Lineage: Eukaryota; Fungi; Ascomycota; Dothideomycetes; Venturiales; Venturiaceae. The record is from RNAcentral.
GCAACAGCUCAAAUUUGAAAUCUGGCGCAAGCCCGAGUUGUAAUUUGUAGAGGAUGUUUCGGGUGAAGCCACGGUCCAAGUCCCUUGGAACAGGACGUCAUAGAGGGUGAGAACCCCGUACCUGGCCGUCGGCUCCCCCCGCUGUGAAACUCCUUCGACGAGUCGAGUUGUUUGGGAAUGCAGCUCUAAAUUGGUGGUAAAUUCCAUCUAAAGCUAAAUACCGGCCAGAGACCGAUAGCGCACAAGUAGAGUGAUCGAAAGAUGAAAAGCACUUUGAAAAGAGAGUUAAAAAGUACGUGAAAUUGUUGAAAGGGAAGCGCUUGCGGCCAGACUUGCCCGCGGUUGCUCAGCCCGCCUUUUGGCGGGUGCACUCUUCCGCGGUCAGGCCAGCAUCGGUUUGGGCGGUCGGAUAAAGGCGUUGGGAACGUGGCCUCCCCUCGGGGAGGUGUUAUAGCCCGGCGCGCAAUGCGACCAGCCCGGACCGAGGUUCGCGCUUUGCUAGGAUGCUGGCGUAAUGGCCGUAAGCGGCCCGUCUUGAAACACGGACCAAGGAGUCUAACAUCUAUGCGAGUGUUUGGGUGUCAAACCCGUGCGCGUAAUGAAAGUGAACGGAGGUGGGAACCGCAAGGUGCACCAUCGACCGAUCCUGAUGUCUUCGGAAGGAUUUGAGUAAGAGCAUAGCUGUUGGGACCCGAAAGAUGGUGAACUAUGCGUGAAUAGGGUGAAGCCAGAGGAAACUCUGGUGGAGGCUCGCAGCGGUUCUGACGUGCAAAUCGAUCGUCAA